This 497-nucleotide ribosomal RNA is filed under the name uncultured bacterium. Its description in RNAcentral is "partial 16S ribosomal RNA". It matches the Rfam family "Bacterial small subunit ribosomal RNA", at positions 28 to 507 of the family's 1533-position model. The record is from RNAcentral.
GACGAACGCUGGCGGCGUGCCUAAUACAUGCAAGUCGAACGCUGAAGAGAGGAGCUUGCUCUUCUUGGAUGAGUUGCGAACGGGUGAGUAACGCGUAGGUAACCUGCCUUGUAGCGGGGGAUAACUAUUGGAAACGAUAGCUAAUACCGCAUAACAAUGGAUGACACAUGUCAUUUAUUUGAAAGGGGCAAUUGCUCCACUACAAGAUGGACCUGCGUUGUAUUAGCUAGUAGGUGAGGUAAUGGCUCACCUAGGCGACGAUACAUAGCCGACCUGAGAGGGUGAGCGGCCACACUGGGACUGAGACACGGCCCAGAGUCCUACGGGAGGCAGCAGUAGGGAAUCUUCGGCAAGGGGGGCAACCCUGACCGAGCAACGCCGCGUGAGGGAAGAAGGUUGUCGGAUCGUAAAGCUCUGUUGUAAGUCAAGAACGGGUGUGAGAGUGGAAAGUUCACACUGUGACGGUAGCUUACCAGAAAGGGACGGCUAACUACGUG